This 1208-nucleotide long non-coding RNA is filed under the name Dromaius novaehollandiae (emu). RNAcentral's name for it is "lncRNA (ENSDNVG00000009627.1)". Lineage: Eukaryota; Metazoa; Chordata; Aves; Casuariiformes; Dromaiidae. The record is from RNAcentral.
CGUCGGGGCAUGGGGGGGGCUUGGGGUGGAGCGGGGGCCCCGGGGGGGCUCUAACCACCUGUAUCUCCCCAGGCCCCCGUCCUGUGAGCCCCACAACAGCUUCAUGCUGCUGACGCGGCCCAGGUCCCCCUCUCGCACCCCGAUCAAGCAGCAGCCGGUGCCCUCAGCAGAGCCGUUCCUGUCCAUCCCGAGGUCGCCACAAGCCCCUCAGAGCCGCAAGGUCUCCUUCACCCAGCCAGAACCGGACAACGACAGCGUGCCCAGCUACGAGAACGAGGGCGAGGCGGGCGGCCAUCCCCGGGGCGCCUGGCCGCGGGCCCCAUCCCCUGCCCCGCUGGCAGCCCCUGAGAGCGAGGAUGACUACAACAACGAGCUCUACGCCACCGGCUACGUCGAGGUGCUCCCGGAYGGCGCGGCCCAGCCCAGCCCGCCCCAGCAACCCCAGGCCAGGGACAGCGGCUCCUCCGCGGCGCCCGGUGAGGAGUAUGAGAACGUCCCCGACGCCCACCGCCAGUCCCUAGGUGAGUCGCGCACAGAGGGGCAGGUCUGUGGGGCGGGGCCCCCCAACCCCAUCCCUGUCUCGCCUCUCAUCCCCGCUCUGUUCCCUACAGCUGACAGCCUGGAGUACGUCAAUGUCCCCGAGGCCGGGGCCAGCCCCACGCCCCGCUACGGUGAGCAUUUUGGGGCCGCUUGGGCCUGCCCCGUGGCGGCUGAGGACCCCCCCCAUGACUACGGGCGGCCUGACACGAGCCAGGCCCCCCCUCACUGCGGGGCACCCCUCUGUCCCCUGCAGCCAGCGAGAGCGAGGAGGACGCCCCAGACUACGAGAACCUGCAGCGCUGAGCACCAGGUAAACCCCGGCCGGCACCGCGUCAGCACCGCGCACCCCACACCCGGCCCCCCCGCCCCGCCCCGGUCCCUCGGGCCCAAGUGAUCCUGGUCUCUCUCACAGGCGCCGCCGGCCACGGCCCCGCACCAGCGCCAGGACCGGCGGCUGGAGUCCCUUGGAACCAGCCGGGCCCCCCCGACCCUGUUAAUUUAUUGCAUCCCCCCGUCUGUGCACCUUCUUCUGACACAUCCUGAGAAGCACCCCCCGCUGGCCCCCGGCCCUGACCCGGGGGCCCGGGGGUCCCCAUGCCCCGACCCGGGGCCCCCGUCCCCCCAUAACGCUGAAUAAAGCCGUGGGAGCCGCACCGAGCUGUGCCUGG